AGCUUAUUUUGCGCAGGCGGAACUCGACCGCCCACUGAAGCGAUGAUCGCCUUCAUAGAAGAUCAGCGCGUUGUUUACGGCGUCGAGUCGAUCUGCAGGGUCCUGCCGAUCGCGCCG
Regulatory RNA element from Roseovarius azorensis, 117 nucleotides. It matches the Rfam family "ALIL pseudoknot". NCBI's taxonomy places the organism in Bacteria, Pseudomonadati, Pseudomonadota, Alphaproteobacteria, Rhodobacterales, Roseobacteraceae. The record is from Rfam.